AUUGAACGCUGGCGGCAGGCCUAACACAUGCAAGUCGAGCGGAUGAAGGGAGCUUGCUCCUGGAUUCAGCGGCGGACGGGUGAGUAAUGCCUAGGAAUCUGCCUGGUAGUGGGGGAUAACGUCCGGAAACGGGCGCUAAUACCGCAUACGUCCUGAGGGAGAAAGUGGGGGAUCUUCGGACCUCACGCUAUCAGAUGAGCCUAGGUCGGAUUAGCUAGUUGGUGGGGUAAAGGCCUACCAAGGCGACGAUCCGUAACUGGUCUGAGAGGAUGAUCAGUCACACUGGAACUGAGAAACGGUCCAGACUCCUACGGGAGGCAGCAGUGGGGAAUAUUGGACAAUGGGCGAAAGCCUGAUCCAGCCAUGCCGCGUGUGUGAAGAAGGUCUUCGGAUUGUAAAGCACUUUAAGUUGGGAGGAAGGGCAGUAAGUUAAUACCUGACUGUUUUGACGUUACCAACAGAAUAAGCACCGGCUAACUUCGUG
This 484-nucleotide ribosomal RNA is filed under the name uncultured bacterium. RNAcentral describes it as "partial 16S ribosomal RNA". It matches the Rfam family "Bacterial small subunit ribosomal RNA", at positions 30 to 507 of the family's 1533-position model. The record is from RNAcentral.